Molecule: microRNA, 21 nt
Filed under: Panagrellus redivivus
Lineage: Eukaryota; Metazoa; Nematoda; Chromadorea; Rhabditida; Panagrolaimidae
Description: prd-miR-7966b-3p
Source: miRBase by way of RNAcentral
UGAGGUGCGACAUUCCGUGUA